UGGGGAAUUUUGGACAAUGGGCGAAAGCCUGAUCCAGCAAUGCCGCGUGUGUGAAGAAGGCCUUCGGGUUGUAAAGCACUUUUGUCCGGAAAGAAAUCCUUGGCUCUAAUACAGUCGGGGGAUGACGGUACCGGAAGAAUAAGCACCGGCUAACUACGUGCCAGCAGCCGCGGUAAUACGUAGGGUGCAAGCGUUAAUCGGAAUUACUGGGCGUAAAGCGUGCGCAGGCGGUUUGCUAAGACCGAUGUGAAAUCCCCGGGCUCAACCUGGGAACUGCAUUGGUGACUGGCAGGCUAGAGUAUGGCAGAGGGGGGUAGAAUUCCACGUGUAGCAGUGAAAUGCGUAGAGAUGUGGAGGAAUACCGAUGGCGAAGGCAGCCCCCUGGGCCAAUACUGACGCUCAUGCACGAAAGCGUGGGGAGCAAACAGGAUUAGAUACCCUGGUAGUCCACGCCCUAAACGAUGUUAACUAGUUGUUGGGGAUUCAUUCCUUAGUAACGUAGCUAACGCGUGAAGUUGACCGCCUGGGGAGUACGGUCGCAAGAUUAAAACUCAAAUGAAUUGACGGGGUCAUAGCUGUUUCCU
This 584-nucleotide ribosomal RNA is filed under the name uncultured bacterium. Its description in RNAcentral is "partial 16S ribosomal RNA". It matches the Rfam family "Bacterial small subunit ribosomal RNA", at positions 355 to 1375 of the family's 1533-position model. The record is from RNAcentral.